This is a small nuclear RNA of Camelus dromedarius (Arabian camel), 166 nucleotides long. Its record names the gene U2. It matches the Rfam family "U2 spliceosomal RNA". From Rfam's summary of the family: U2 is a small nuclear RNA (snRNA) component of the spliceosome (involved in pre-mRNA splicing). Complementary binding between U2 snRNA (in an area lying towards the 5' end but 3' to hairpin I) and the branchpoint sequence (BPS) of the intron results the bulging out of an unpaired adenosine, on the BPS, which initiates a nucleophilic attack at the intronic 5' splice site, thus starting the first of two transesterification reactions that mediate splicing. The record is from Ensembl. Lineage: Eukaryota; Metazoa; Chordata; Mammalia; Artiodactyla; Camelidae.
AAAACUUUGUGCAUUAAAGAAUGCUAUCAAGAAAGUGAGAAGACCACCCACAAAGUGGAAGAAAACAUUUGAAACCAUAUAUCUUAGGAGAUGGAGUAGGAGCUUGCUCCGUCCACUCCACGCAUUGACCUGGUAUUACAGUAUUUCCAGGAACGGUGCACCCUCU